GCAGUUGUAUAAGACAACAGCACAAUUACGCAACCCUGAUUUACACCACUAUAAACCCAACAUGACAUGCAUAAAUGGCAUGAUCAAUCGUUCUAUAAAAAAAUGUUAAAAUACACUCACAGUCUCACCUUGUCGUAAUCUUUAGCAGCGUUGUUGAAAUAUUGCUUCAACUGCUCUUCGGUACUGUCUCUAGGCAUUGCCUGUGAUGAAAAUGUGGGGAGUUUAGCGCUCAUGAUUAAGUUGUUAAAUCUAAAAUUUACGCAAUAUAAUAACCAGGGCUCUCAGAA
Molecule: non-coding RNA, 287 nt
Organism: Paramuricea clavata
Lineage: Eukaryota; Metazoa; Cnidaria; Anthozoa; Malacalcyonacea; Plexauridae
Source: the annotation of a GenBank genome assembly